UGCCGCGGGGCGGGCAGUGCGCCUGUGCGGUGGCCGCUGGGUGCCGCGGAACGGAGCGGAGCGGAGCCCCGGCGGCGGCGGCAGGAGGAGGCGGCUGUGACCACCGUCCCUGGGAGAUGGCGGAGCCGGGGGCUGCGCGCAGCUACCCGCGGGCGACAGCCAUUGAUGGAUUCCUAAAAACUGAUGAAAGACAAAGACUGGCAAAGGAGAGAAGAGAAGAAAGGGAGAAAUACCUUGCUGCUAGAGAACAGCAGAUACUGGAGAAGGAGAGAAGAGCAAAGCUUCAGUAUGAAAAGCAAAUGGAGGAGCGAUGGAGAAGGCUGGAGGAGCAGAGGCAGAGGGAGGAGCAGAAGAGAGCAGCUGUGGAAGAGAAACGGAGACAGAAGCUUAAAGAGGAGGAGGAGCGUUUAGAAGCCAUGAUGCGGCGGUCCCUUGAACGCAGCCAGCAGCUGGAGCAGAAGCAGAAGCGGUGGUCGUGGGGAGGAGCACUGGCUGCAGGCUCGGGAGGCAGAGAUGGUGAAUCAGAACAUCCCCCAGCCCCCGCUCUAGGUUUAGCUGCCAACACCCUUCCUCCAGACCCUGUGACCUCUGCUGCUCCUGCUGAUUCCUUCAAUGCAUGUGACAAACUUUCAGCCUCUACAAUGAAUCUGCCCAAGCAAAUGGAGUCGCCCAUCAGUAAGCGCCUCUCCUCCUCCACAGCGGCCAUAACGCAUUCCCCUGACAGAGCUCACCGCAUGCAUCUUAGCCCCAUGGAAAACUUUCUUGUUUCUCGACUGCUGACUCCCACACAAUCAUCUUUAGCCAGAAGCAGAAGUACAUUAAUGCUCUCUGAGCAGUGCAAUAAUCCAGUAUUCCAUAUCUGUCCUCGUGUAGCACCAGCUAGUCCUCUUAAGUCUCCCUACAAGCCUUCCCCAGCCCGAAGCAGCGACAGGAAGAAGGCGACGUCCCCCUCCGCUGCCGACGCCGUCAGAGGGGCGGCUGCAGGCGAAGGCUCUCAGGCUGAGAAGGUGAAGAGAGAGAAGCGAUCCUCAACACCUGUUUCGUCGUCUGGCAUGGGAUCUCCUCUAAGAAGGUCUGAUUCUCCUGCUGCCAUCUCCAGAAGAUCUGCAUCACCUGCAACACCCAAGACAGCUGCAAAGGCUUACCCUCAGUCCCCUAAAACCACCAAACAAUACCCAGCCUCCCCUGUGAAGCACCGUGCCACUGCUCCUCUCAACCAGGAGACUCCCAAGAAGAAAGCAGACAAGGAGAAAGAAAAUGUCAGUCAGCAGAGGUCCCCAGGGGCACGCAGCGAGGAGAGCAGCCAGGGGGCUUCUGAGAAGCAGGUGUCCUCUGCAGGCAAGGCUGAAAGCACUGAAGGGAAGAUCACAGCAGGAACAACUGACGCAGAAGAAGCUUCCAAAAUCCUAGCUGAAAGGAGACGCCAGGCUCGCCUGCAGAAGGAGCAGGAGGAGAGGGAGAGGCAGGAGAGAGAAGAGCAGGAGAGGCUUGAAAGAGAAGAACAGCAAAGAAAGGCAGAAGAAGAAAGGCUUCGUCGAGAGGAAGAGGCUCGGAAGAAGGAAGAGGAAAGGAAACGUGAAGAAGCAGCUGCUAGGAAAAAGGCAGAAGAGGAAGCCAAGAGAAGAGCUGAGGAAGAACAAAUGCUGAAGGAGAAGCAAGAAAAAGAGCUCCAGGCCAAGCUUGAAAAACAGAGAGAGGAAGCAGAACUCAAAGCCCGCGAGGCAGCCGAACAGCUUCGACUGGAAAGGGAACAAAUCAUGCAGCAAAUCGAGCAAGAGAGGCUGGAGCGGAAGAAGAGAAUAGAAGAGAUAAUGAAGAGAACAAGGAGGAGUGAAACACCAGAAAUAAAGAAGGAAGAACCAAAACUGGAAGCACCAUCAACGCUGAACGUGGAAAAGCAACCAAAGGCUCUUGUUCUCAACCAGCCAGAGAUCAAUGGGUUGGCAAGCUGCCUGAAAAGUAAAGGCUUAGAAAGUGCUGCCUCUGUAUUCCCUGCCCAGGAUGUAGUUGCCAAUGGACUAAAAUCAGUUCCAGGACUUAUUCAGUUAGAAGCUGUUGAUGGGAAAUGUAGCAUGGAAGACUCAGCUGAUGAGGUUCAGUCCAUGGAUGUGAGCCCAGUUUCCAAAGAGGAACUUAUCUCUAUCCCUGAAUAUUCACCCAUGAACGAACUGAUGCCUGGGGUUGCUUUGGACCAGAAUGGAACAAGCAAUGCCAAGGCUCUCGAAGACCUCUUGGAUUUCACAGGCCAAGCUACCUACUCCAAGAUGUCCAGUGAUGCCAUUAACCUAGAUGACUGUAACAAAAACCUGAUUGAGGGAUUUAACAGUCCAGGACAGGAAAAUACACUCAAUUCUAUCUGUUGACAACCUCACUUGGCCAGCAGAACAGAGCGAGGUACAGUAUUGUGAGGAACAUCUUAGCCACCACAAACUGCUGUGAUUGCUUCGCCGUCCUCCCCCCCAGCAAAAGAGAGCAUCUGUGGAGGGAGGAAGCAAGCUGGGCUCACAGAUCUGGAAAUUCAGCAUAACCUUUCUUAUCUGCAGCUCUUUGUAAAUAGGCAUCGUAGGCAAACCCCAGCAUAGCCUAGCAACAGAAGGCAUCUGCUAAGUGGAAACGUUUCCUUCAUGCAUUCACAGGAGAAUCGGCAGAGGAGGUGCUUUGGGGCUUUUGUUUUCCUUCAAGUGCUUCCUUUCCUCUCAGUCUUUGGAGCAUUUUUGCAUGAAGAAAACAGUUAAAAGUGGGGCCAGCAUAGCAAAGUGCUGCUUACUCUCAUCUGCUGCCCCAAGUAACAUGCAGCAGGAUGGAGAAACACUGCCCCUGGGAAGCCUGCACAGCUAUAAAGCCAUAGCAGGCUUCAGGGGCAGUGGCACAGUGCCACAGACACUUGGGGUUUGGGGGGCAAUAAUGUAUUCUGAAUUAGGAAGCUGAAAUCAGUUCACUGGCAGAGCUGACUCAGCAUUCUCCUCUCUUUUAACUGGCAGAGAUAGCAGUUCAUGAGGGAUAUACAUCCCCGACGUGGCACUGGCAGUAAAAUAGGAGCUUGGCACUUGGGGGGUGGGGGGGAAGCUUCUGCAGGCUUUGAGCACGUUUGAACAUUUGAAGUUGGAGUUGAAAUUAUCAGAGCUGCAUAAAACUUUGUCUUCUGCUUUUGGCAGAUGCCAAUGGUGCAGAGCCUUGAUGGUUUUGGGGAAGACUUGAGUGUGGCAUUAGGAUGUGAGCUUCAGCUGCUGGUCAAGCACUUCUUUCUCCUUUUCAUCUACACUCAGCUCAACACUUCACUGUCAUUUUGUUUUCUUAACCUGUGCAUUUGACUGGGAAAUGAUUCUUCCUUCAGCCUCAUCAUGCAUCCAGGUAAUUCUUCCUUCAGCCUCAUCAUGCUUCCAGAUAAUUCUUCCUUCAGCCUCAUCCUUCGUCAUGCAUCCAAAUAAUUCUUCCUUCAGCUUCCUCAUGCUUCCAGGUAAUUCUUCCUUCAGCCUCAUCAUGCAUCCAGGUAAUUCUUCCUUCAGCUUCAUCAUGCAUCCAGGCAAUUUUUCCUUCAGCCUCAUCAUGCAUCCAGAUAAUUCUUCCUUCAGCCUAAUCAUGCAUCCAGUUAAUUCUUCCUUCAGCUUCAUCCUUCAUCAUGCAUCCAGGCAAUUUUUCCUUCAGCCUCAUCCUUCAUCAUGCAUCCAGACAAUUCUUCUUUCAGCUUCAUCAUGCAUCCAGAUAGUUCUUCCUUCAGCCUCAUCAUCCACCCAGAUAAUUCUUCCUUCAGCUUCCUCAUGCAUCCUUUUAGACCCUUUUUUUUCCCUUGUAAAUAGGGUAAAAGUGAGGUUUGCUGCUGGUGCACUGCAAGGAAAUGCUGAUGCUGUGCUUUAAUACUUCAAUAACGAGUUCUUGGCAACUUUGGUGCAGGUGUAGACUUCAGAAGUGCAGCUGAAGAGGUCUGAAUAACUACUGGAUUCCAAAGAGCCUUUUUUUGCUGGCAGGGGGAGUGUGGGAGCUUCCUCCUCGUGGUUGUUAUGUGGAGACUUUUAGUCACUAGUGGCACUGGUUAAGGUUAGUCUGGGAGUGACUGUGUGUUUAAAAAGGUGCUUGUGGAGCAGCUGUAAACAAGGUAGGCCAAAUGCCUCAUGUAAUCCCUUCCAAUACAUAUAUAUAUAUCUAAUAGCUGUAGUAGAGCCAAAUGAGUGGCUGGAGGAGGAGAGGACACAUUCAUCUCUGAAGAUGCAGACACUUGAUUCAUACCAGCAGGCUUUCUGUCACAUGGGAGAAGCAUUUUUGUCUUUCUCAGAGGCUCAACAAACCCAAGUUUUAGGCAGCAGCAAAACAAUAAGCAGGAAUCCAAAGGCUGGGACACCUUUGGGGCACACUGCUUAGAGCCCUAAAGGUUCUGCAAGCAUCUGGCUGGAAGAAUUCACAUCAAGCUAUGUCAUUGUUAACUUCGGUGAGCUACAGCUGUGUGCUGCUCUGAGGACACUUCUGGUCCAGGUUCUUCUCAGAAUAAAUGAUAACUCAAACUGCCUCUGGACACUACCACCCAAGAAGUAUUUGGGAUUCUGUGGGUGUUUUCUUUGCCUUUCUGUUAGUUUGGGUUUGGGGUUGGUUUUUUUCCCCACGUGUAAGGGACUUCCCAGCAUAAGUUAAGCUCAGCUGGAGCCCUGCUCCCGUGCUCUUUGCAGCCAGCAAGAGGCAAUGACAUGGUGUGAGGUGUAAAGGAAUCAGACCUACACCAAUCCAGCUCUGUUCCUGUUAGUGCUCCUCAGAGAAACCCUUCCUUGUGAGUGUGCAGUAAGCUGUAGCAUGGUGCUGUGUCUUCCACCUUAGUCUCCUUCAUCUCUUUCUCACCUCAUGAGCAAAGCAAGCCAGCUGGUGUUGCUGUGGUCCCUUGUGUUUGACAGGUGUCACAUUCUAUUUUAUUAGGGUGUCACUGUAUAAGCUGUAGAUUUCUGUAUUUGCAUGACCUGUAUAGCAUGUAUAAAGGUGAAAUACAUUUUCAUUUAUGACUCCCAA
Pogoniulus pusillus (Red-fronted tinkerbird) is the source of this 4989-nucleotide RNA transcript. It is a transcript of the gene named MAP7 domain containing 2, with no coding region annotated. The transcript is spliced from 18 exons. Lineage: Eukaryota; Metazoa; Chordata; Aves; Piciformes; Lybiidae. The record is from RefSeq and is a predicted model, not a curated record.